Molecule: small RNA, 66 nt
Organism: Salmonella enterica subsp. arizonae
Lineage: Bacteria; Pseudomonadati; Pseudomonadota; Gammaproteobacteria; Enterobacterales; Enterobacteriaceae
Rfam family: RydC RNA
About the family: This family represents a bacterial non-coding RNA called RydC. RydC is thought to regulate an mRNA, yejABEF which encodes an ABC transporter protein.
Source: Rfam
CUUCCGAUGUAGACCCGUUCUCCUUCGCCUGCGUCACGGGUCUCGGUUAGACGCAGGCGUUUUCUG